GACGAACGCUGGCGGCGUGCUUAACACAUGCAAGUCGUACGGUAAGGCCCUUUCGGGGGUACACGAGUGGCGAACGGGUGAGUAACACGUGAGUAACCUGCCCACAACUUUGGGAUAACGCUAGGAAACUGGUGCUAAUACUGGAUAUGUGCUCCUGCUGCAUGGUGGGGGUUGGAAAGCUCCGGCGGUUGUGGAUGGACUCGCGGCCUAUCAGCUUGUUGGUGGGGUAGUGGCCUACCAAGGCGGCGACGGGUAGCCGGCCUGAGAGGGUGACCGGCCACAUUGGGACUGAGAUACGGCCCAGACUCCGACGGGAGGCAGCAGUGGGGAAUAUUGCACAAUGGGCGCAAGCCUGAUGCAGCAACGCCGCGGGCGGGAUGACGGCCUUCGGGUUGUAAACCGCUUUCAGCAGGGACGAAGCUUUUUGUGACGGUACCUGCAGAAGAAGCACCGGCUAACUACGUG
This 465-nucleotide ribosomal RNA is filed under the name uncultured bacterium. Its description in RNAcentral is "partial 16S ribosomal RNA". It matches the Rfam family "Bacterial small subunit ribosomal RNA", at positions 28 to 507 of the family's 1533-position model. The record is from RNAcentral.